Molecule: ribosomal RNA, 564 nt
Filed under: uncultured Glomeromycotina
Lineage: Eukaryota; Fungi; Glomeromycota
Description: SSU rRNA
Rfam family: Eukaryotic small subunit ribosomal RNA
Source: RNAcentral
UUGGAGGGCAAGUCUGGUGCCAGCAGCCGCGGUAAUUCCAGCUCCAAUAGCGUAUAUUAAAGUUGUUGCAGUUAAAAAGCUCGUAGUUGAAUUUCGGGAUCAGAUUGUCGGUCGUGCCUCGGUACGCACUGGCAUUAUUGGUUCCUACCUUCUGAAGAACCGCGAUGUCAUUAAUUUGGUGUCGUGGGGAAUCAGGACUGUUACUUUGAAAAAAUUAGAGUGUUUAAAGCAGGCUUACGCUUGAAUACAUUAGCAUGGAAUAAUGAAAUAAGACGUUUGAUUCUAUUUUGUUGGUUUCUAGGAUUGACGUAAUGAUUAAUAGGGAUAGUUGGGGGCAUUAGUAUUCAAUUGUCAGAGGUGAAAUUCUUGGAUUUAUUGAAGACUAACUACUGCGAAAGCAUUUGCCAUGGAUGUUUUCAUUAAUCAAGAGCGAAGGAUAGGGGAUCGAAGACGAUCAGAUACUGUCGUAGUCUUAACCAUAAACUAUGCCGACUAGGGAUCGGAUGAUGUUAAUUUUUUAAUGACUCAUUCGGCGCCUUACGGGAAACCAAAGUGUUUGGGUUC